UUGAACGCUGGCGGCAGGCCUAACACAUGCAAGUCGAGCGGAUGAAGGGAGCUUGCUCCUGGAUUCAGCGGCGGACGGGUGAGUAAUGCCUAGGAAUCUGCCUGGUAGUGGGGGAUAACGUCCGGAAACGGGCGCUAAUACCGCAUACGUCCUGAGGGAGAAAGUGGGGGAUCUUCGGACCUCACGCUAUCAGAUGAGCCUAGGUCGGAUUAGCUAGUUGGUGGGGUAAAGGCCUACCAAGGCGACGAUCCGUAACUGGUCUGAGAGGAUGAUCAGUCACACUGGAACUGAGACACGGUCCAGACUCCUACGGGAGGCAGCAGUGGGGAAUAUUGGACAAUGGGCGAAAGCCCGAUCCAGCCAUGCCGCGUGUGUGAAGAAGGUCUUCGGAUUGUAAAGCACUUUAAGUUGGGAGGAAGGGCAGUAAGUUAAUACCUUGCUGUUUUGACGUUACCAACAGAAUAAGCACCGGCUAACUUCGUG
RNAcentral lists this ribosomal RNA (483 nucleotides) under uncultured bacterium. RNAcentral describes it as "partial 16S ribosomal RNA". It matches the Rfam family "Bacterial small subunit ribosomal RNA", at positions 30 to 507 of the family's 1533-position model. The record is from RNAcentral.